AAUAAUUAGUCUUUUAAUUGAAGGCUGGAAUGAAAGGUUGAACAAAAAGUUGACUGUCUCUGAAUUAAAUCUUGAAUUUAACAUUUAAGUGAGAAGGCUUAAAUAUCUUAGGGGGACGAUAAGACCCUAUAAAUCUUCAUAUUUGAGCUUAUAAAAUAAGAUAUUAGUAUGCUUUUUAUUUGAUGGGUUUAAAUAUUUUGUCGGGGCGACAGGGGUAUAAAAUGUAACUGCUCUAGAGUAAUAGUUAGUCGAUAUCUAGUUAUGUGAUCCUUUAGUAGAGAUGUUAGUUUAAGUUACUUUAGGGAUAACAGCGUAAUUUUUUUUGAGAGUUCGUAUCGAAAAAAAAGUUUGCGACCUCGAUGUUGAAUUAAAGAUCCUUUGCGGCGCAGAAGUGUAAGAGGAG
Molecule: ribosomal RNA, 403 nt
Filed under: Chelarctus aureus
Lineage: Eukaryota; Metazoa; Arthropoda; Malacostraca; Decapoda; Scyllaridae
Description: partial 16S ribosomal RNA
Rfam family: Bacterial large subunit ribosomal RNA
Source: RNAcentral